CCCUUAGAUGUUCUGGGCCGCACGCGCGCUACACUGAUGCAUUCAACGAGUCUAAAACCUGGUCUGAUAGGGCUGGGUAAUCUUUUGAAUGUGCAUCGUGAUUGGGAUAGAUGAUUGCAAUUCUUCAUCUUCAACGAGGAAUGCCUAGUAAACGCAAGUCAUCAGCUUGCAUUGAUUACGUCCCUGCCCUUUGUACACACCGCCCGUCGCUCCUACCGAUUGAAUGUUCCGAUGAAUACCAUGGACUGAGAGUAUGAAUGGGUUCGCCUAUUUCUGCUUCUCGGGAAGUGGAGUAAAUCUCAACAUUUAGAGGAAGGAGAAGUCGUAACA
This 330-nucleotide ribosomal RNA is filed under the name uncultured eukaryote. Its description in RNAcentral is "partial 18S ribosomal RNA". It matches the Rfam family "Eukaryotic small subunit ribosomal RNA", at positions 1470 to 1796 of the family's 1831-position model. The record is from RNAcentral.